ACGAACGCUGGCGGCGUGCUUAACACAUGCAAGUCGAACGGAAAGGCCCUGCUUUUGUGGGGUGCUCGAGUGGCGAACGGGUGAGUAACACGUGAGUAACCUGCCCUUGACUUUGGGAUAACUUCAGGAAACUGGGGCGAAUACCGGAUAGGAGCUCCUGCUUCAUGGGGGGGGUUGGAAAGUUUCGGCGGUUGGGGAUGGACUCGCGGCUUAUCAGCUUGUUGGUGGGGUAGUGGCUUACCAAGGCUUUGACGGGUAGCCGGCCUGAGAGGGUGACCGGCCACAUUGGGACUGAGAUACGGCCCAGACUCCUACGGGAGGCAGCAGUGGGGAAUAUUGCACAAUGGGCGGAAGCCUGAUGCAGCAACGCCGCGUGCGGGAUGACGGCCUUCGGGUUGUAAACCGCUUUCGCCUGUGACGAAGCGUGAGUGACGGUAAUGGGUAAAGAAGCACCGGCUAACUACGUG
RNAcentral lists this ribosomal RNA (467 nucleotides) under uncultured bacterium. RNAcentral's name for it is "partial 16S ribosomal RNA". It matches the Rfam family "Bacterial small subunit ribosomal RNA", at positions 29 to 507 of the family's 1533-position model. The record is from RNAcentral.